Molecule: ribosomal RNA, 324 nt
Filed under: uncultured Chloroflexota bacterium
Lineage: Bacteria; Bacillati; Chloroflexota
Description: bacterial SSU rRNA
Rfam family: Bacterial small subunit ribosomal RNA
Source: RNAcentral
GAUAAACGCUGGCGGCGUGCAUGAGACAUGCAAGUCGAACGGACACUUGGGGGCUUGCUCCAAGUGUUAGUGGCGGACGGCUGAGUAACGCGUAGGUGACCUGCCCCGAAGUGGGGAAUAACUGCCCGAAAGGGUGGCUAAUACCGCAUGUGGUGGUGUGUUCAUUCACACCAGUAAAGCCGCAAGGCGCUUCGGGGAGGGGCCUGCGUCCGAUUAGCUCGUUGGUGGGGUAACGGCUCACCAAGGCGACGAUCGGUAGGUGGUCUGAGAGGACGAUCACCCAGACUGGGACUGAGACACGGCCCAGACUCCUACGGGAGGCUG